Molecule: long non-coding RNA, 190 nt
Organism: Mauremys mutica (yellowpond turtle)
Lineage: Eukaryota; Metazoa; Chordata; Testudines; Geoemydidae
Exons: 3
Source: RefSeq, a predicted model, not a curated record
GUAGAAACAACACAGGAGGCUAAUACUGCGUUUAGAAGACAUAUAGCAAUUCUUCUAAUGAAGGAGUCAGAAAGCGUGGAGGACUACUGCAUAUACUGCAACUUUAUCAACUGUGAAAAAGAAAUUGAGGAUUGCACGAUGGUCCAGUGUGAUCCUUGCAAGAGGUGGGCACAUAUACCCUGCAUUACAG